This 403-nucleotide ribosomal RNA is filed under the name uncultured bacterium. RNAcentral describes it as "partial 16S ribosomal RNA". It matches the Rfam family "Bacterial small subunit ribosomal RNA", at positions 30 to 526 of the family's 1533-position model. The record is from RNAcentral.
AUUGAACGCUAGCGGCAGGCCUAACACAUGCAAGUCGAGCGAGCGGCGGACGGGUGAGUAAUGUAUUGUGACUGCCCGAUAGAGGGGGAUAACUACUGGAAACGGUAGCUAAUACCGCAUACUAUCGUAUAACCCAUAUGGGAUUAGCUAGUGGGUGGGGUAAAGGCUCACCAAGGCAACGAUCCGUAGCUGGUUUGAGAGGACGACCAGCAAAACUGGGACUGCGACACGGCCCAGACUCCUACGGAGGCAGCAGUGGGGAAUUUUGGACAAUGGGGGAAACCCUGAUCCAGCCAUCCCGCGUGUAUGAUGAAGGCCUUCGGGUUGUAAAGUACUUUUGGCAGAGAAGCGGUAUCUGCAGAAUAAGCACCGGCUAACUACGUGCCAGCAGCCGCGGUAAUUC